Molecule: long non-coding RNA, 602 nt
Organism: Gordionus sp. m RMFG-2023
Lineage: Eukaryota; Metazoa; Nematomorpha; Gordioida; Chordodea; Parachordodidae
Exons: 3
Source: RefSeq, a predicted model, not a curated record
UAAAUUCAGUAAAAUCUCCAAAAGGCGCCCUUCUUAUAUUAGUUACCACCUCCAUCCAUAAAUUACAAAACUGUUCUUGUAGAUCACUGAGUGGCCCUAGGUAAAUUGCCCUGGUCACUUUUUAGCGGAAAAAUGGUCAUGGGAAUAAUUUUGAAGCCAAAAAUGAUUUGUUCGUUGUUUCUGGCGUUUGUAAUAUAUAACUCGAUCUUGUAUCAAGCACUCACAUUUUCUAUCAAAAAAAGAGAUAUUAUCAAUGGAAUACCGUUAAUGAAAAAUGGAGAAACACAAUUGGUCGGAGACUCAAUUCCAUCAAGAGGAUAUUCAAAGAUUUUAACAGAUAUAUACGACCAGGGUGACGAUAUGGGGUUUAAAACUAAGUUAUUGGUGAAAAGACUUUAUGAAAAAGAAAUGAAACGUUAUAAUAUCAAACAGUGCCAGCUUAAUAUGAUAGCUUGCCUAAUGUAUGGUGCAUAAUUUCCAGAAGAAACUAACGGAAAACUUACAUAAUUAAACAAAAACAUUUAAAUGUGAGUUAUUAAACAGUUACAUUUUUAUAUGUGUUAAUAAUAUAAUACUUUAUAAUUAUAAUUUUUAUAAUGCUU